This 444-nucleotide ribosomal RNA is filed under the name uncultured bacterium. RNAcentral's name for it is "partial 16S ribosomal RNA". The record is from RNAcentral.
GACUACUGGGGUAUCUAAGCCCGUUCGCUACCCACGCUUUCGUGCUUCAGUGUCAGAUAAGCGCCAGUUAGCUGCCUUCGCCUUCGGUAUUCCCCAUGAUAUCAACGGAUUUCACCCCUACACCAUGAGUUCUGCUAACCUCUCACUCUCUCUAGUCUAGCCGUUUCGCUUGCAUUUUCCCGGUUAGGCCGGGAGCUUUAACAAACGACUAACUAGACCACCUACGCACCCUUUAUGCCCAGUAAUUCCGGAUAACGCUUGGGGCACUCGUUUUACCGCUGCUGCUGGCACGAGUUUUGCAGCCCCUUAUUCAUCAGGUACCGUCACUUUAGUUCUUCCCUGAUAAAAGAUGUUUACGUCCCGAAGAACUUCAUCCAUCACGCGGCGUCGCUCCGUCAGACUUUCGUCCAUUGCGGAAGAUUCUCGACUGCAGCCACCCGUAGG